This 81-nucleotide transfer RNA is filed under the name Ixodes scapularis (black-legged tick). It matches the Rfam family "tRNA". Rfam says of the family: Transfer RNA (tRNA) molecules are approximately 80 nucleotides in length. Their secondary structure includes four short double-helical elements and three loops (D, anti-codon, and T loops). Further hydrogen bonds mediate the characteristic L-shaped molecular structure. tRNAs have two regions of fundamental functional importance: the anti-codon, which is responsible for specific mRNA codon recognition, and the 3' end, to which the tRNAs corresponding amino acid is attached (by aminoacyl-tRNA synthetases). tRNAs cope with the degeneracy of the genetic code in two manners: having more than one tRNA (with a specific anti-codon) for a particular amino acid; and 'wobble' base-pairing, i.e. permitting non-standard base-pairing at the 3rd anti-codon position. Lineage: Eukaryota; Metazoa; Arthropoda; Arachnida; Ixodida; Ixodidae. The record is from Rfam by way of RNAcentral.
GCCGCGUGGCCGAGUGCCUAAGGCAAUGGGCUUGAAAUUCAUUGGGGUCUCCCCGCACAGGUUCGAGUCCUGUCGACUGCG